UGGGGAAUAUUGGACAAUGGGCGCAAGCCUGAUCCAGCCAUGCCGCGUGGGUGAUGAAGGCCCUAGGGUUGUAAAGCCCUUUCGGCGGGGAAGAUAAUGACGGUACCCGCAGAAGAAGCCCCGGCUAACUUCGUGCCAGCAGCCGCGGUAAUACGAAGGGGGCUAGCGUUGCUCGGAAUCACUGGGCGUAAAGCGCACGUAGGCGGACUCUUAAGUCGGGGGUGAAAUCCUGGAGCUCAACUCCAGAACUGCCUUCGAUACUGAGAGCCUUGAGUCCGGGAGAGGUGAGUGGAACUGCGAGUGUAGAGGUGAAAUUCGUAGAUAUUCGCAAGAACACCAGUGGCGAAGGCGGCUCACUGGCCCGGUACUGACGCUGAGGUGCGAAAGCGUGGGGAGCAAACAGGAUUAGGAUACCCUGGUAGUCCACGCCGUAAACGAUGGAUGCUAGCGUGGCAGGCUUGCCUGUCAGUGGCGCAGCUAACG
RNAcentral lists this ribosomal RNA (483 nucleotides) under uncultured Pseudomonadota bacterium. RNAcentral describes it as "bacterial SSU rRNA". It matches the Rfam family "Bacterial small subunit ribosomal RNA", at positions 355 to 857 of the family's 1533-position model. The record is from RNAcentral. Lineage: Bacteria; Pseudomonadati; Pseudomonadota.